This 643-nucleotide ribosomal RNA is filed under the name Cortinarius sp. EH28. Its description in RNAcentral is "eukaryotic LSU rRNA". It matches the Rfam family "Eukaryotic large subunit ribosomal RNA", at positions 1 to 626 of the family's 3401-position model. Lineage: Eukaryota; Fungi; Basidiomycota; Agaricomycetes; Agaricales; Cortinariaceae. The record is from RNAcentral.
GUGACCUCAAAUCAGGUAGGACUACCCGCUGAACUUAAGCAUAUCAAUAAGCGGAGGAAAAGAAACUAACAAGGAUUCCCCUAGUAACUGCGAGUGAAGCGGGAAAAGCUCAAAUUUAAAAUCUGGCGGUCUUAUGGCUGUCCGAGUUGUAAUCUAGAGAAGUGUUAUCCGCGCUGGACCGUGUACAAGUCUCCUGGAAUGGAGCAUCAUAGAGGGUGAGAAUCCCGUCUUUGACAUGGACUGCCAGGGCUUUGUGAUGCGCUCUCAAAGAGUCGAGUUGUUUGGGAAUGCAGCUCAAAAUGGGUGGUAAAUUCCAUCUAAAGCUAAAUAUUGGCGAGAGACCGAUAGCGAACAAGUACCGUGAGGGAAAGAUGAAAAGAACUUUGGAAAGAGAGUUAAACAGUACGUGAAAUUGCUGAAAGGGAAACGCUUGAAGUCAGUCGCGUCAUCCAGGGAUCAACCUUGCUUUUGCUUGGUGCACUUCCUGGUUUGAUGGGUCAGCAUCAAUUUUGACUAUUGGAAAAAGGCUGAGGGAAUGUGGCAUCUUCGGAUGUGUUAUAGCCCUUGGUCGCAUACAAUGGUUGGGAUUGAGGAACUCAGCACGCCGCAAGGCCGGGUUUAAACCACGUACGUGCUAGGAUGC